UGUCAUCGCCGUUUCACGGCGGUUCCUCCCUUAACUUGGCGCCCGUCGCGAAUGGCGGGCUUUUUUCGAAGCUCC
This 75-nucleotide small RNA is filed under the name Bradyrhizobium erythrophlei. Its description in RNAcentral is "suhB". The record is from RNAcentral. Lineage: Bacteria; Pseudomonadati; Pseudomonadota; Alphaproteobacteria; Hyphomicrobiales; Nitrobacteraceae.